This is a non-coding RNA of Camelina sativa (false flax), 204 nucleotides long. The record is from RefSeq and is a predicted model, not a curated record. Lineage: Eukaryota; Viridiplantae; Streptophyta; Magnoliopsida; Brassicales; Brassicaceae.
UGAUUUAGGCAUGAAACUAUUAUAAUCGGCUGGGCUUCGUCUCCUUCGUGAUGAUUGGUUUCAAAUUAAGGGUUUUGUUUUUGGUUUGAUUCGAGAACGAAACUACAACAAUCGGCUGGGCUUGGUCUCCUUCGUGAUUGAUUUGGUUGUACUGAUCUGAUCUAGGGUUGUUUGGUUUGAUUCGGGCAAGAAGCUAUUUCAAUC